This 18-nucleotide ribosomal RNA is filed under the name Melanconium gourdiforme. Its description in RNAcentral is "partial 28S ribosomal RNA". Lineage: Eukaryota; Fungi; Ascomycota; Sordariomycetes; Diaporthales; Melanconidaceae. The record is from RNAcentral.
AUUUCUGAAAGUUGACCU